ACCCGCUGAACUUAAGCAUAUCAAUAAGCGGAGGAAAAGAAACCAACAGGGAUUGCCUUAGUAACGGCGAGUGAAGCGGCAAAAGCUCAAAUUUGAAAUCGGCCACCAGGUCGAGUUGUAAUUUGUAGAUUGUAUCUCGAGAGCGGAUUAAAGUCUGUUGGAACACAGCGCCUUAGAGGGUGACAGCCCCGUAAAAUCUAUUCUCAUUGUAAGAUACUUUCGAAGAGUCGAGUUGUUUGGGAAUGCAGCUCUAAGUGGGAGGUAAAUUCCUUCUAAAGCUAAAUAUUGACGAGAGACCGAUAGCGAACAAGUACUGUGAAGGAAAGAUGAAAAGCACUUUGAAAAGAGAGUGAAAAAGUACGUGAAAUUGUUAAAAGGGAAGGGUAUUGAAUCAGACUUGGUGCUGUUGUUCAACUGUGUUUCGGCACAGUGUACUCAGCAGUACUAGGCCAAGGUGGGGUGUUUGGGAGUGAAAAAGAAGUUGGAACGUAACUCUUCGGAGUGUUAUAGCCUACUUUCAUAGCUCCUCAGGCGCCUCAGGACUGCGCUUCGGCAAGGACCUUGGCAUAAUGAUUCUAUACCGCCCGUCUUGAAACACGGACCAAGGAG
RNAcentral lists this ribosomal RNA (609 nucleotides) under uncultured fungus. Its description in RNAcentral is "eukaryotic LSU rRNA". It matches the Rfam family "Eukaryotic large subunit ribosomal RNA", at positions 23 to 673 of the family's 3401-position model. Lineage: Eukaryota; Fungi. The record is from RNAcentral.